CCUACGGGGGGCUGCAGUGAGGAAUAUUGGUCAAUGGGCGAGAGCCUGACCCAGCCAAGUCGCGUGAGGGAUGAAGGAUCUAUGGUUUGUAAACUUCUUUUAUGUGGGAAUAAAGUGAGGAACGUGUUCCUUUUUGUAUGUGCCAUAUGAAUAAGCAUCGGCUAACUCCGUGCCAGCAGCCGCGGUAAGACGGAGGAUGCGAGCGUUAUCCGGAUGUAUUGGGUGUAAAGGGUGCGUAGGUGGUUAAUUAAGUCAGCGGUGAAAGUUUGUGGCUCAACCAUAAAAUUGCCGUUGAAACUGGUUGACUUGAGUAUAGUAGAGGUAGGCGGAAUGCGUGGUGUAGCGGUGAAAUGCAUAGAUAUCACGAAGAACACCGAUUGCGAAGGCAGCUUACUAAACUAUAACUGACACUGAAGCACGAAAGCGUGGGGAUCAAACAGGAUUAGAUACCCUUGUAGUC
This 460-nucleotide ribosomal RNA is filed under the name uncultured bacterium. RNAcentral's name for it is "partial 16S ribosomal RNA". It matches the Rfam family "Bacterial small subunit ribosomal RNA", at positions 338 to 795 of the family's 1533-position model. The record is from RNAcentral.